This 978-nucleotide long non-coding RNA is filed under the name Panax ginseng (ginseng). RNAcentral's name for it is "long non-coding RNA (PGIN_LNC010043)". The record is from RNAcentral. Lineage: Eukaryota; Viridiplantae; Streptophyta; Magnoliopsida; Apiales; Araliaceae.
GGGGAGUCAAAAUUUGAGGGCGGUUAUCGGAGGUCCGGAACAGCCCUCAACUCUCAACACUACGUUUGCUAAUUUUAAUACCGUUCAGUUUUAGUAUCUUUUUAUGUAGGAGUAAUAAAUGUUAAAACACUAAACAGGAUGAACCGCUUCAACUUAGUUAUUAACUAGCCACUUCAAAGAAUGUUAGUGGCAUUUCUGAGGGGCAUUUUCAAUUCACCAACUGUCAGACUCAGCUGAGGAAGAGUAUAGCAGCUUGCUAGCUUCUUAGAUAACAUAUAAUGCAUCUUAUAUGUAAUAUACUUGGUCUAUGACAUUGAAGUAACUCUGUCUACCUAGAAUGUUACAUACAAUCUAUUUCUAUUUGCAGCUAACUGCUGCUGCCAGUGGGCAGCAGCCCUCAACUCUCAACAUUUGGUUUGCUAGCUAGCUUCUAAUUCCCCAUAUCUUUAAUCUAUUUACGCUGAAUUUUGGGUCAUUAGAUAGGUGAUACAACUCACUCAUAAUAGAGCAUAUUAGCUGAGCAUCUUAAGCAACAUAGCUGCGCUGACUGAAAGUCUAAGGUGAGCCCCCUAGCCAUCGCCCAACUCAAUUGCUGCUGCUGCCGCUGCAGGGGGCAGCAACCCUGCUUGUAAUAUCACCACUUUGCGAUAUUAAAAAUUGUUUUUCGUUUCAAUCUAAUAUACCCAAACUCUUUAAUUAUCAUUUCAUAUGAGAUAUCAAUCUGAUACAAGCCUUGAUUCCAUCUAAUAUUCGGUUUUUUAGCCAAAACAGUUCACUUGGGACUUUUAUCGAACAACUUGUGCACACUGUUCUAAACUACCAAUUUCAUGGCUAUUUAUUUGAAUUUCAAACCCAUUUAGUCUCUCUUAUGCCUCCGCACAACCAACUUAUCUCCUCUAAUCUUGUUUCAGCCAUAGCAAUUCAUUGAUCAGCUAUAAAUAUGCAUAACCAAUAUAUAAAUCAACUUCAAAAAAAAAA